Non-coding RNA from Pimephales promelas (fathead minnow), 1622 nucleotides. The record is from RefSeq and is a predicted model, not a curated record. NCBI's taxonomy places the organism in Eukaryota, Metazoa, Chordata, Actinopteri, Cypriniformes, Leuciscidae.
CUCUCCUACAACACAACACAGACAGCAACAGGUUCAGCUCAGAUCGGCACACGUGGGUGACGCGCCGUGUUGCUAGCUACACCAACACAGGCUGCAGUUCUCACACAGACCACUAGGAGAAACCCUGAGUCUGGACAAAACGUGGCCACUAAAGAAGGUCAAAUACUCUUCAAGAUCAUAUCAUCUACGUUCAAGAUCAUUCCUGAACAUUUCCUAAAGGAAACCAGAAUGCGAGGAUGUUCAGAAAGUCAUAAUCAAGUUUAUCCGACACAAGUUAAACCAACAACGCAAAUAGGCUCCUAUGAAAAAUUACAUAUUAAACCUUCCAAAUAUAUAUAUUAUAUUUAUUGACUGCGGUAACUAAUGUAUUUUUGCAUAGUUAAAAAGUAUAAAAUGACGUAAAGUAUUAACGCGGUAAUUUAAACGGCAUUUAUACUUUACGUCACAACGUAAAGAGAACGAAUCCAGAUCUCCACGCCUCAGAAUUAAAAACCAUAACGAGCACUUCGUCGUACUUUAAAUCGCUUCAAAACAAACCGUAAUCUCAUUCAAACUAGCUCAAAAUAGCGAGACCGGCGAUUUAGCCCAGCUUAAUGUAACGCAACGUAUAACUUCUAAUGAAUUACAAUAAAAAGCAACACGCUGUGUAGCAAAACACAAGCUGUGUUUGUCACUGAAAACGGUAAGUUUAAUGUCGCAAAUACUUACAUUUUUGUCGCACAAGAACACUCAACCUUCCCUCAUGUCAUGUCAGAGACGCACGUAACGUCUGUCACAACAACACAACGCAGCCUAACUAUUGUAGGUGAUUGACAGGCGUCGACGACCAAUCAAACUGCAGGACGGAAAGCGUCACCGGUAACGGUCGCGUGAACUGUCACCUCUUCCAUCCAAUGGGAUUCGGGAGAUAUCUGUUAUACACGCCUAUUGAUAAAACAGAUAUUUACACGAAGUGGCGGCGAUUGACAGAACCACCGACGAGUCCUAAAUUUGAGAUUUUCUGAAGGGGAAAAUCAGUGGCGGUGAAAUCUGAAAAUGACAGUUUGUUACACAAAUCACGAGCGCGAGGGAGGAGGGCGUUUCGGUGGGCGUGGCCUGAGCUGGGGUUGGUUGCAUCGCAGCGCAUAUACACAAUGGCUGCUGGAAAGAGGGGAAAGCAAACAAUUUUUAGGCCCGCCGCGUCUAGCAAAAAAUAUGAGAAAAAAAUUAUUAAAAAUCCGGGAAAUAGUUGAAAGUCAAGAAAAACACCCUAGAAAGGAUGUUAACGCUCCUACGGGCCUUGCGUCUCUGCUGUGUUGACGAUUGGGGCUUUUACGCGCUCUCUGCGCCGGGACGUAUCGCUCGUGUCCAACGCAUGGCUUGCUGUCGCUAGGUUGCCAUGGCAACAGUAUCUCCCAACGACGCGGCAGAACACUGUCGAGCGAGGAAGAGGAGAGUAGAGGGGAAAGCGAGGAAGAACUUCUCCUGUCAGUUGUGCGAGAAGGCCUUCAACAGCUUGGAGAAGCUGAAGGUACACUCGUACUCCCACACGGGGGAAAGGCCGUAUCGCUGCACACACACCGACUGCACCAAGGCCUUCGUCUCCAAGUAUAAACUCCUACGGUAGGUACUUGUAUUGUAAC